ACUGCUAACUGCUAACUUUUAUUAUAUGACGUUAGCUUUGGCUUGGGUUUUUUGGGCUAUAAAACCAUGAAAAACAGACCUAAAAAGAUGAAAUUUUAAUAUGUUUAAACAUACAAACAUGGAUGUUCCCAAAA
Long non-coding RNA from Thalassophryne amazonica, 134 nucleotides. RefSeq lists it as uncharacterized. The transcript is spliced from 3 exons. The record is from RefSeq and is a predicted model, not a curated record. NCBI's taxonomy places the organism in Eukaryota, Metazoa, Chordata, Actinopteri, Batrachoidiformes, Batrachoididae.